AUUGAACGCUGGCGGCAUGCUUUACACAUGCAAGUCGAACGGUAACAGGCCGCAAGGUGCUGACGAGUGGCGAACGGGUGAGUAAUGCAUCGGAACGUGCCCAGCCGUGGGGGAUAACUACUCGAAAGAGUAGCUAAUACCGCAUACGAUCUAUGGAUGAAAGCGGGGGACCGUAAGGCCUCGCGCGAUUGGAGCGGCCGAUGUCAGAUUAGGUAGUUGGUGGGGUAAAGGCUCACCAAGCCAACGAUCUGUAGCUGGUCUGAGAGGACGACCAGCCACACUGGGACUGAGACACGGCCCAGACUCCUACGGGAGGCAGCAGUGGGGAAUUUUGGACGAUGGGCGCAAGCCUGAUCCAGCAAUGCCGCGUGCAGGAAGAAGGCCUUCGGGUUGUAAACUGCUUUUGUACGGAACGAAACGGCUCUGGUUAAUACCCGGGGCUAAUGACGGUACCGUAAGAAUAAGCACCGGCUAACUACGUG
This 482-nucleotide ribosomal RNA is filed under the name uncultured bacterium. RNAcentral's name for it is "partial 16S ribosomal RNA". It matches the Rfam family "Bacterial small subunit ribosomal RNA", at positions 30 to 507 of the family's 1533-position model. The record is from RNAcentral.